This 231-nucleotide long non-coding RNA is filed under the name Elaeis guineensis (African oil palm). RNAcentral's name for it is "long non-coding RNA (EGUI_LNC022825)". Lineage: Eukaryota; Viridiplantae; Streptophyta; Magnoliopsida; Arecales; Arecaceae. The record is from RNAcentral.
ACUUACCUGAUCAAUUUGAUGGAUUAUGACUGAUCUAGAUGCCAUUAAGGUUGAUCAGUGUGACUGAUUUAGAUAUCAUUUCAACUAGUAUGAUCAUGAUUCAAUUUAAUGACUUGAUAAAGUCAGUGGGAGGAUUGUGGUUUACUGAUUGAUCUCUUCUCUUCUCUUGAUUCAUAAAUUAAAAUUUUAAAUUAUUAAGUUUCUAAAAUGAGAUAGUUAUGGUGAUAACUA